RNAcentral lists this small RNA (118 nucleotides) under Candidatus Erwinia dacicola. Its description in RNAcentral is "RtT sRNA". It matches the Rfam family "RtT RNA". From Rfam's summary of the family: This family represents a bacterial cis-regulatory element known as RtT RNA. The exact function of RtT is unknown although it is thought that it may be involved in changing the cellular response in relation to amino acid starvation. The record is from RNAcentral. Lineage: Bacteria; Pseudomonadati; Pseudomonadota; Gammaproteobacteria; Enterobacterales; Erwiniaceae.
GUCAUCUUCCUGAUGGGAAGGAUGAGAAGGUUUGAGCCGAACGCAGUGAGACCAUGCCACCUGUGGCGUCCGUAGGGCAAGGAGCGCAGCGACGCAGUUAUCCCUUCCCCCACAACCA